Molecule: long non-coding RNA, 749 nt
Organism: Macrobrachium nipponense
Lineage: Eukaryota; Metazoa; Arthropoda; Malacostraca; Decapoda; Palaemonidae
Exons: 3
Source: RefSeq, a predicted model, not a curated record
CUGUUUUCAGUGAACCUUCAUCUAAAAGUAUUUGUGAAAACGAUGAGAUGUGAAUACCUGCUUAUCAUGAAACAUCUAAAGACGAAAGGCGGUGCGCUAAGAACAUUGAAAUGGAAAGCCAAGUUACACUGGACAAAGUGGAAGUGACGACUACUGGACCUUGAUGAAAGGGGACUUAAUGAAGUGUACACGUAAAGCAUUACUCAGGAUGGUGACUGACGGACUUGCCAUUAUUUCAGAGAAGUCAAAAUGUCCUCGUUCAGAGUGAAACUUGACUGCACACUACAUUUGGAUGAAUGUGUAACAGUGCUAUGAUCACCUUCAGUAAGACUAUCAGUUUGGGGAAAGUUAAUCCAUCAAGUGGAACGUUAUCUCAGAAGUUUCAAGGACAGGACUUCAUGCACAACAGGACUUGGUGUAUAGGGAAGGUUGAUUCUGAACAGUUUGUGUAGAUGUAUUCGUGAUGAGGCACCAGUAAUAUUAUUGGUUGAUAUAUAGUUGAAAUUAACACUGUGUAGCUCUUAUUAGUUGAAUUUUGCUUAAAUUCCAAACUUUUUCGUAGGUUGAGGCCAUUAAGUUCAUAUUGUGAUAUCACUUUUUGUAAGCAAGUCUAAUAGUUUUUCUGCCCAGAGAGAUGUUCAAGUCUCAACUGAUUUAAUUUCCUAUUUAAAUUUCACAGUUCGAUUUGUAUCUUUAAAAUCAACUCUUAGUUUACCUUUGUAAUUUGUAAUCUUAGGGCAUAUUAUAUU